UGGGGAAUCUUGCACAAUGGGCGAAAGCCUGAUGCAGCGACGCCGCGUGCGGGAUGAAGGCCUUCGGGUUGUAAACCGCUUUCAGCAGGGACGAGGCUGCAAGGUGACGGUACCUGCAGAAGAAGCCUCGGCUAACUACGUGCCAGCAGCCGCGGUAAUACGUAGGGGGCAGGCGUUAUCCGGAUUCAUUGGGCGUAAAGCGCGCGUAGGCGGUUUGUUAGGUCAGGAGUUAAAUCUGGGGGCUCAACCCCUAUCCGCUCCUGAUACCGGCAGGCUUGAGUCUGGUAGGGGAAGGCGGAAUUCCAAGGGUAGCGGUGAAAUGCGGAGAUAUUUGGAAGAACACCGGUGGCGGAGGCGGCGUUCUGGGCCACGACUGGCGCUGGGGCGAGAAAGCUAGGGGAGCGAACAGG
This 410-nucleotide ribosomal RNA is filed under the name Verrucomicrobiota bacterium. RNAcentral describes it as "Verrucomicrobia bacterium partial 16S ribosomal RNA". It matches the Rfam family "Bacterial small subunit ribosomal RNA", at positions 355 to 776 of the family's 1533-position model. The record is from RNAcentral. Lineage: Bacteria; Pseudomonadati; Verrucomicrobiota.